Molecule: ribosomal RNA, 253 nt
Filed under: uncultured bacterium
Lineage: Bacteria
Description: partial 16S ribosomal RNA
Rfam family: Bacterial small subunit ribosomal RNA
Source: RNAcentral
UACGGGGGGGGCAAGCGUUGUUCGGAAUUACUGGGCGUAAAGGGCUCGUAGGCGGCCAACUAAGUCGGACGUGAAAUCCCUCGGCUUAACCGGGGAACUGCGUCCGAUACUGGAUGGCUUGAGUUCGGGAGAGGGAUGCGGAAUUCCAGGUGUAGCGGUGAAAUUCGUAGAUAUCGGGAGGAACACCGGUGGCGAAGGCGGCGACCUGGGUAGAUACUGACGCUGAGGUGCGAAAGCGUGGGGAGCAAACAGG